CUUGGUAUUUCACACCUACCCAGGUAUUAUGUGCAUUUUGCGCAUGUUCUGCAACUAUUAAUCCCAAAUGCUCAACUCAAUUAAAGGUCAUUAUUAGUCAAUCUAUGGGAUAGAUUUGCACAUAGAAUCACGAAAUAUCCCGAGUUGGAUGAGACCCAUGAAGAUCAUUGAGUCCAACUCCAACAUGAUUGGUGCUGUGCUGCUUGAGGAACAGCCAUUAAUGGAAAGCUCACAAAAAUGAGAAAGGUGAUGAACACUUGACAAAAAUAAAUAAAUAAAAUGAGGAAUAACUUGGUUAGGCCAGUUGUAGAGUUCCUCUUCCCUACAGCCACAAUACUGUAAAGCAUGAUAAAAAUGAAAAAUUAUAUCCCUUUUUUCUUCUUUUUUUUCCUUCUAAAUUGCCAAAAGAUAGAAAUAAUCAUUACUAACAUGCAGAAAGGACUAUAAUAGCUGUGAACGACAAAGAAAGAAAAAAGAUGAAAUAGCUGUGUGCUUAUUGCCCUUUAACACCUAUUUUAUUAAUAAAAUUUCUGUGUCUAUUGUGCCCACUAUAAAGAUUUAAGAGUGGGUAGCCAAAGCGGUGAUGGGUUCUACAGGCCAGUAUGCCCACUGGGCGAUACCUGGGCAGCUAAUAACCUUCAGAUUAUCCAAUUUGGGGCAGCUGUCCAUGUCAUCAUUGCCUUAACUCAACUCUUCAGCAACAGCUUGGCCACCUUCACCUGCAGCAGAGUUUCCUAAAGUGACUUGCUGACUUUGAGCAACUUGACUCCAAGGAGUUAACGGGAGUUUUCUCUGUGACACCAGUUGGGUAGAGUUGAAGUUUUGAUGUAUAAGAAACAGACACUUAGCUGUACUGAUGGUUCAUGGCUUUUUGGAAGGAUUACCUGUUGGGUGCAUGGGAGCUCAGAAUGCAGAGACCAGUGAUUUAAAGAUGAAGGACAAAGCACUGCUGAGCACAAUGGAACAGAAGAUUCACUCGAGUGAGGGACAGUUGGAAGACUUGCGUCUCAGGGCUGAGAGUUCCCAUCCAUGCUAUGUACUUUUGGCUGGGACACUGACCAUUGUUUCAAGUGACAUGCUGUCCUGGCUCCCACACAAGGUGAUUUUUAAUAUGUCCCAUAAGUUGUUCUUAGGGUGUCCGGGAUACCGUCAUUGUGGCUUCCAUGAAUACAGGGGAAAUUCCUGGCAGAUUCCAAGAACAAGGAAGUUGAAGGCUUCUCAGUGAUGGAAAAUGGACUGUGUUCUUGUUGAAGGCAUGUGAACCGUGGAUCUGAAAGCCAAAAUUACUAUCUCCCUUACCUCCCACUGGGGAAAAAAUCUAGUCCUAUCAUUUGGAUGUCACUGUUGGUAUUCUAUCUGGUUUUAUCUUUAGAGCAGUGUACAUGCAGUUUUGUGGUUAUAGUGUAAAAAUAUGUGGUAUCAUGUAUCCUUGACUAGCAAGGAUAGAAUCUGAUAUAGAGCCAUGGUACCUUGAAGUUUUCCUUAUUUUGAAAUGUUUUAUAUAUCAAAGAAGCUGUACCAAUCCAAGUAUGCCUUAAGCAUUACUAACUAUUAAAAAAAAAUAAUAAAAUACAUAAAGUUUGGGGCUGGGGCUGCUAG
RNAcentral lists this long non-coding RNA (1599 nucleotides) under Anas platyrhynchos platyrhynchos (common mallard). Its description in RNAcentral is "lncRNA (ENSAPLG00000028631.1)". The record is from RNAcentral. Lineage: Eukaryota; Metazoa; Chordata; Aves; Anseriformes; Anatidae.